RNAcentral lists this small nuclear RNA (106 nucleotides) under Sparus aurata (gilthead seabream). The record is from RNAcentral. Lineage: Eukaryota; Metazoa; Chordata; Actinopteri; Spariformes; Sparidae.
GUGUAACUUCGGUUACACGUAUACUAAAAUUGGAACGAUACAGAGAAGAUUAGCAUGGCCCCUGCGCAAAGGGUGGGGCUUGUUCUCCGAGGCGCCCCCGGUGCCG